CCGCCCUGUGAAUAUGAAAGGUGCAUUAAUGAGAUUGGAAAGUAUACAUGCUGCCAACGCGGGUAUAUCGCCAAUAGGACAAUGCUGAACAGUGCCGGGAUUGAAGAAUGUACAGAUAUUGAUGAAUGCGAUGGGCCCACGAGCAGCAACUGCAGCCUGGCAUCAACGUCAUGCUUCAACACUCCCGGCUCCUUCGCGUGCUGUAGUCCUGGCUACCAACCAUUCCAAUCAGCUUGCGCCAGAGAGUACAGAGGCAAUCUUCUGAUACUUGAUCCAGUCAAUUAUCCGGCAAUGAAUUUUUCCAGGGCCGCUUCACUAUGUUCUCAGCUAGGGUUAGCGAUACCAAGUAGAACGGAGGAAAAAGAUAUGAUUGUCCAGGCAACCAGAGAUUUGAUAAUCAGUGACUUUGUGUGGUUCCGGAUGUUUGCCGAGCCAUUCGGGCUGGGACAGGUAUUCCUUGCCCAAACUAAUGCGUCCCGCGAAGAUUUGCAUAAUGUUGCCUGUGCAAGAUAUACUGGAUGCGCAUCUGGUUGUGGCCAGAAUGAACACUGCUCCAAGGACGGGUCGUGUGAAUGUACUUUGCCCUACUAUAGAGCUGACAACGGGUCGUGCCAACGU
Molecule: long non-coding RNA, 618 nt
Organism: Sycon ciliatum
Lineage: Eukaryota; Metazoa; Porifera; Calcarea; Leucosolenida; Sycettidae
Exons: 4
Source: RefSeq, a predicted model, not a curated record